Molecule: long non-coding RNA, 569 nt
Organism: Lolium rigidum
Lineage: Eukaryota; Viridiplantae; Streptophyta; Magnoliopsida; Poales; Poaceae
Exons: 3
Source: RefSeq, a predicted model, not a curated record
UAUGCUUGAACAUUCGCCGGUUCUUGAGAAUCUAAUUCUUGAACUGCGCAAGCAAGAAGAAACUGCUCUUGCAUUGGAAGUGGAAGGAAAUAAUAGUUUGAUGCACAAACCAGCUGCUAUAUCAGGAUGCCUGAAGAUUAUUAAAGUCAAAUUUGAUGAGAUUGAUGACAGAGUUUGCAAAGUUUUGAAGUUCUUGAGUAUACUUGGCACAGAAAUUAUUAUCCAAAGGACUACCGAUUGUUGGAGAUACUGAUCCAGUUUCAAGAGGCAAGGGGAACUUUGGGGUGCUGAUGGAUGUACCAUUAGGAGACCAUUCAGUUUCAAGAGUUGGCGAGGAACUUGUGCUGUUGAUGAAUUUACCAACCUGUGACCAACUUCAGGAAUGCAAGGCUGAAGCUUGUUGAUGUCUCUCUUCUGUGCGAAUCUUAUAAUUUGAAACUCAAACUUAUUCAGCUGUCUGGACUGAUUACUAUGCUUAGUGUAAUUUUAUUAUUCCUAAAUUUGAAGAGAAAGAACAUCAUCUUAGUUUGGGCUGUUGAGGGAGGUACCAUCCCGUGACAAUUCAAAAA